AGAACCAAGGUGAGAAGGUACAUGCACGAAAAGAAAAAGAGUGAAAAGGAGGAAACGAAAGAAUAUAAAGGAGUAGUCAGCAUUCCACAUCUGAAAGGGUUGUCAGAAAAGUUUAAGAGAAUAACAGAGAAGCAUGUAAUUCGAACAACAUUUAGACCAGGAAGAAAGUUAAAAGAGUUGAAAGUACGAGUUCAACAUCCGUUAGGAAACAAACGAAAGGCGGUUGUCUAUAAGAUACCAUGCGGUUGUGAAAGAGCAGUGUACAUAGGAGAGACAUAUCGACAAUUUGAAACAAGGAAGAAAGAACAUGAGAGCAAAGUACGAUUAAUAAAACAGGACAUAAAGAAUGGGAAGUUAGAAUCAGCAGAACAAAGGAUGGGGAAGGAAGACGGUGGCUUGGCAAGACACAGUGUUAAGUGUACAGGAGAGAUUGAGUGGGAAAAAGCUGGAAUGAUUGCGAUGGAGAAGGGAUUGAGGCAAAGAAAAGCAAGGGAAGG
Non-coding RNA from Paramuricea clavata, 497 nucleotides. The record is from the annotation of a GenBank genome assembly. NCBI's taxonomy places the organism in Eukaryota, Metazoa, Cnidaria, Anthozoa, Malacalcyonacea, Plexauridae.